RNAcentral lists this transfer RNA (85 nucleotides) under Candidatus Moraniibacteriota bacterium. Its description in RNAcentral is "tRNA-Ser". It matches the Rfam family "tRNA". From Rfam's summary of the family: Transfer RNA (tRNA) molecules are approximately 80 nucleotides in length. Lineage: Bacteria; Candidatus Moraniibacteriota. The record is from RNAcentral.
GGAGAGGUGGCCGAGCGGUUUAAGGCGCACGCUUGGAAAGCGUGUUGAGGGAAACUUCACGCAGGUUCAAAUCCUGUCUUCUCCG